AAGUCGUAACAAGGUUUCCGUAGGUGAACCUGCGGAAGGAUCAUUAAAGUAUAAAACACUUUAUAAAAUCUACACACCUGUGCACCCGAGGCGGAUCCCCCUAUCUGUGGGGAACUGCUCCUCUCCUACAUCAUACUCCAUGUCUAGAAUGUACAUUAUUGAAAUAAUAAUAACAACUUUCAACAACGGAUCUCUUGGCUCUC
This 203-nucleotide unclassified non-coding RNA is filed under the name air metagenome. Its description in RNAcentral is "partial contains small subunit ribosomal RNA, internal transcribed spacer 1, and 5.8S ribosomal RNA". The stretch from base 1 to 46 matches the Rfam family "Eukaryotic small subunit ribosomal RNA", at positions 1786 to 1831 of the family's 1831-position model. The record is from RNAcentral.